AUUCUAGAGCUAAUACAUGCUGGAGUGCCCGACUCACGAAGGGCCGUAUUUAUUAGAUAUCAGCCAAUAAGCAUCUGCUAUUGUGGUGACUCAUAGUAACUUAAUCGGAUCGCAUGGGCUUGCCCCGCGACAAACCAUUCAAGUUUCUGCCCCAUCAUGCUUUCGAUGGUAGUGUAUUGGACUACCAUGGCUUUCACGGGUAACGGAGGAUUAGGGUUCGAUUCCGGAGAGGGAGCCUGAGAAACGGCUACCACUUCCACGGAAGGCAGCAGGCGCGUAAAUUACCCAAUCCUGAUUCAGGGAGGUAGUG
Molecule: ribosomal RNA, 310 nt
Filed under: uncultured Spirotrichea
Lineage: Eukaryota; Ciliophora; Spirotrichea
Description: SSU rRNA
Rfam family: Eukaryotic small subunit ribosomal RNA
Source: RNAcentral